GUUUAACCAACGUGUUUAACCAACCAACCAACCAACCAACCAACCAACCAAUCAAUCAAUCAAUCAAUGCAUGUUUCCGUUUCAUGUGUUAAAUACGGGAUCCAAGAUGUUUUUUUUUUUCGCUCGUUUAAAUUGAGCCUAUCUAACGUGUUUAACCAACGUGUUUAACCAACAUGUUUAACCAACGUGUUUAACCAAUUAACCAACCAACCAUCCAUCCAACCAACCAACCAACCAACCAAUCAAUCAAUCAAUGCAUGUUUCCGUUUCAUGUGUUAAAUACGGGAUCCAAGAUGGUUUUUUUUCGCUUGUUUAAAUUGAGCCUAUCUAACGUGUUUAACCAGCCAACGUGUUUAACCAACGUGUUUAACCAACAUGUUUAACCAACCAACCAACCAACCAACCAACCAACCAACCAACCAACCAAUCAAUCAAUCAAUCAAUCAAUGCAUGUUUCCGUUUCAUGUGUUAAAUACGGGAUCCAAGAUGGUUUUUUUUUCGCUUGUUUAAAUUGAGCCUAUCCAAACGUGUUUAACCAGCCAACGUGUUUAAACUACGUGUUUAACCAACAUGUUUAACCAACAUGUUUAACCAACGUGUUUAACCAACAUGUUUAACCAACGUGUUUAACCAACCAACCAACCAACCAACCAACAAUCAAUCAAUCAAUGCAUGUUUCCGUUUCAUGUGUUAAAUACGGGAUCCAAGAUGGUUUUUUUUCGCUUGUUUAAAUUGAGCCUAUCAAACGUGUUUAACCAGCCAACGUGUUUAAACCAACGUGUUUAACCAACGUGUUUAACCAACCAACCAACCAAUCAACCAAUCAAUGCAUGUUUCCGUUUCAUGUGUUAAAUACGGGAUCCAAGAUGGUUUUUUUUUCGCUUGUUUAAAUUGAGCCUAUCCAACGUGUUUAACCAAGCCAACAUGUUUAAACCAACAUGUUUUAACCAACGUGUUUAACCAACCAACCAACCAACCAAUCAAUCACUUAAUGUAUGUUUCCGUGUCAUGCGUUUAAUACGGGAUGCAAGGUCUCUUGAGGUCUUUUUCCCCUUGUUCUAAGUGACCCUAUCAAACGUGUUUAAUCAACCAACCAACAAACCAACCAACCAACCAAUCAAUCAACCAACUAAUCAAUCAAUCAAUAUGUAUGACUGUUUAUUUAUGACAGUAUAUUGAAGGAACAAACUCUCAAUUAUUCAAGAAAAUUUUUAUUUUAUUAUUGUUCUUACGUCUCUUCUGAAAAAAAAUCCACAUAUUCUCUGAAACUACAAGUCCAAUCGACCUGAAAAUUUGCAGUCAGCAGGGCAUACAUGUACUGAAGGUUCAUAAAAAAACUUUUUGCAGAUAUCUCUCAAGACUUUUCCUAGAAAAAAGAAAUGGCAAUGCCGUAAAAAUCGCUUGCUAGGUCCGUCAAUCUCAGUAAAAACCUACAAUAAAAUGUCCGCUCCGAGAUUGAAAUACUAAUCUGUGUUACAAACAGGUGCUGAAAAAUGGACAUUAUCAAAAAAUAAUCAUUAAAUGUGUUUUAAAGUUACACCGGAUCGAUUAAAUCCAAAACAUGCACUGCUGGUGAACUGUGAUCAAAAUGUCAAUUUCCUACAAUGACAAAAGAAAUUACAUUGUGUACAUUCCAUCUCUAUACAUGUUGUCUGUUCAACGUCCCGACCUAAAAAGAAAUAAAAAGACUAAGUUUUUCUUAAUAUAAACCCGCGUCACGUGAUGUCUCCUCAAUCUUGCGCGCGCGCUGUAUCUAAAAUAAAAGAAAAAACUUUCCAAACUAAACAUGAAACUUCUCCGGUAACAUAAUAAUAUAGACCCCAUACCAAAGCAAACAAACAAACAAACAAAUAAACAAAUACCCCCCCCCCUUUUUUCCAAAUCAAUCAAUAAAAAAAAUCAAUUAUCCAUUCAUCAUAGGGGAAAGACUGCCUAACAAUUGUUUUUGAAACAAUUGCUUUAUAUUUAUUAUUAUUAUUAUU
Molecule: long non-coding RNA, 1982 nt
Filed under: Mytilus galloprovincialis (Mediterranean mussel)
Lineage: Eukaryota; Metazoa; Mollusca; Bivalvia; Mytilida; Mytilidae
Source: RNAcentral